ACGCUGGCGGCAGGCUUAACACAUGCAAGUCGAACGGUAACAGGAAUUAGCUUGCUAAUUUGCUGACGAGUGGCGGACGGGUGAGUAAUGCUUGGGAAUCUGGCUUAUGGAGGGGGAUAACUACGGGAAACUGUAGCUAAUACCGCGUAAAAUCUUCGGAUUAAAGGGUGGGACUUUCGAGCCACCUGCCAUAAGAUGAGCCCAAGUGGGAUUAGGUAGUUGGUUAGGUAAAGGCUGACCAAGCCGACGAUCUCUAGCUGGUCUGAGAGGAUGACCAGCCACACUGGAACUGAGACACGGUCCAGACUCCUACGGGAGGCAGCAGUGGGGAAUAUUGCACAAUGGGGGGAACCCUGAUGCAGCCAUGCCGCGUGAAUGAAGAAGGCCCUCGGGUUGUAAAGUUCUUUCGGUGACGAGGAAGGUUGAUAGGUUAAUAGCCUAUCAAAUUGACGUUAAUCACAGAAGAAGCACCGGCUAACUCCGUGCCAGCAGCCGCGGUAAUACGGGGGGUGCGAGCGUUAAUCGGAAUAACUGGGCGUAAAGGGCACGCAGGCGGUGACUUAAGUGAGAUGUGAAAGCCCCGAGCUUAACUUGGGAAUUGCAUUUCAUACUGGGUCGCUAGAGUACUUUAGGGAGGGGUAGAAUUCCACGUGUAGCGGUGAAAUGCGUAGAGAUGUGGAGGAAUACCGAAGGCGAAGGCAGCCCCUUGGGAAUGUACUGACGCUCAUGUGCGAAAGCGUGGGGAGCAAACAGGAUUAGAUACCCUGGUAGUCCACGCUGUAAACGAUGUCGAUUUGGGGAUUGGGCUUUGAGCUUGGUGCCCGUAGCUAACGUGAUAAAUCGACCGCCUGGGGAGUACGGCCGCAAGGUUAAAACUCAAAUGAAUUGACGGGGGCCCGCACAAGCGGUG
This 910-nucleotide ribosomal RNA is filed under the name uncultured bacterium. RNAcentral's name for it is "bacterial SSU rRNA". It matches the Rfam family "Bacterial small subunit ribosomal RNA", at positions 33 to 934 of the family's 1533-position model. The record is from RNAcentral.